CCGAGAAGGUAGGGGGAAUACGCCCAAGAAGUAAAUUGGAUUAACUACCCCGUAACAUAACGAUGUGGCAUCACAUUGUUAUUAUAGCUUCGGCGCUUCUUGAUGGGUGUGCGGCUGAUUAGAUAGUUGGCGGGGUAACGGCCCACCAAGUCUACGAUCAGUAGCUGAUGUGAGAGCAUGAUCAGCCACACGGGCACUGAGACACGGGCCCGACUCCUACGGGAGGCAGCAGUAAGGAAUAUUGGUCAAUGGACGCAAGUCUGAACCAGCCAUGCCGCGUGAAGGAUUAAGGUCCUCUGGAUUGUAAACUUCUUUUAUCUGGGACGAAAAAAGGCGAUUCUUCGUCACUUGACGGUACCAGAUGAAUAAGCACCGGCUAACUCCGUG
Molecule: ribosomal RNA, 387 nt
Filed under: uncultured bacterium
Lineage: Bacteria
Description: bacterial SSU rRNA
Rfam family: Bacterial small subunit ribosomal RNA
Source: RNAcentral